This 56-nucleotide transfer RNA is filed under the name Rattus norvegicus (Norway rat). It matches the Rfam family "tRNA". From Rfam's summary of the family: Transfer RNA (tRNA) molecules are approximately 80 nucleotides in length. Their secondary structure includes four short double-helical elements and three loops (D, anti-codon, and T loops). Further hydrogen bonds mediate the characteristic L-shaped molecular structure. tRNAs have two regions of fundamental functional importance: the anti-codon, which is responsible for specific mRNA codon recognition, and the 3' end, to which the tRNAs corresponding amino acid is attached (by aminoacyl-tRNA synthetases). tRNAs cope with the degeneracy of the genetic code in two manners: having more than one tRNA (with a specific anti-codon) for a particular amino acid; and 'wobble' base-pairing, i.e. permitting non-standard base-pairing at the 3rd anti-codon position. The record is from Rfam by way of RNAcentral. Lineage: Eukaryota; Metazoa; Chordata; Mammalia; Rodentia; Muridae.
GGGGAUUUAGCUCAGUGGUAGAGUGCUUGCCUGCAAGGCCCUGGGUUCAGUCCCCA